UCGAACGCGAAAGUCCCGCAAGGGAUCAGUAGAGUGGCAAACGGGUGAGUAACGCGUGGGUGACCUGCCUUCGAGCGGGGGAUAACGUCCCGAAAGGGGCGCUAAUACCGCAUAACAUCCUGUCUUUGAACAGGUGGAGAUCAAAGCUGCGGAUCGCAAGACGUAGCACUCGAAGAGGGGCCCGCGUCCGAUUAGCUAGUUGGUGAGGUAAUGGCUCACCAAGGCGACGAUCGGUAGCCGGCCCGAGAGGGCGGACGGCCACACUGGGACUGAGACACGGCCCAGACUCCUACGGGAGGCAGCAGUGGGGAAUUGUUCGCAAUGGGCGCAAGCCUGACGACGCAACGCCGCGUGGAGGAUGAAGAUCUUCGGGUCGUAAACUCCUUUCGAUCGAGAAGAAUUCCCUUGGGGUGAACAAUCCCGAGGGUUGACGGUACCGAGGGAAGAAGCCCCGGCUAACUCCGUGCCAGCAGCCGCGGUAAUACGGGGGGGGCAAGCGUUGUUCGGAAUUACUGGGCGUAAAGGGCUCGUAGGUGGCCAACUAAGUCAGACGUGAAAUCCCUCGGCUUAACCGGGGAACUGCGUCUGAUACUGGAUGGCUUGAGUGUGGGAGAGGGAUGCGGAAUUCCAGGUGUAGCGGUGAAAUGCGUAGAUAUCUGGAGGAACACCGGUGGCG
Molecule: ribosomal RNA, 676 nt
Filed under: uncultured bacterium
Lineage: Bacteria
Description: bacterial SSU rRNA
Rfam family: Bacterial small subunit ribosomal RNA
Source: RNAcentral